UAAUACAGAGGGUGCAAACGUUGCUCGGAAUUAUUGGGCGUAAAGCGCAUGUAGGCGGCAUAGUAAGUUCACUGUGAAAGCCCUUGGCUCAACCAAGGAAGUGCAGUGAAAACUGCUAAGCUCGAGUUCUGAAGAGGGUCGCGGAAUGGCCAGUGUAGAGGUGAAAUUCGUAGAUAUUGGCUAGAACACCAGUGGCGAAGGCGGCGACCUGGGAAGAUACUGACGCUGAGAUGCGAAAGCGUGGGGAGCAAACAGGAUUAGAUACCCUGGUAGUCCACGCCGUAAACGAUGAACACUAGUUGUUGCGGGUAUUGACCCCUGCAGUGACGACGCCAACGCAUUAAGUGUUCCGCCUGGGGAGUACGGCCGCAAGGCUA
RNAcentral lists this ribosomal RNA (377 nucleotides) under uncultured bacterium. RNAcentral's name for it is "bacterial SSU rRNA". It matches the Rfam family "Bacterial small subunit ribosomal RNA", at positions 521 to 896 of the family's 1533-position model. The record is from RNAcentral.